Molecule: long non-coding RNA, 824 nt
Filed under: Cavia porcellus (domestic guinea pig)
Lineage: Eukaryota; Metazoa; Chordata; Mammalia; Rodentia; Caviidae
Description: lncRNA (ENSCPOG00000039518.1)
Source: RNAcentral
CGGAGGAGAACCAGAUGCCAGCCUCUUCUGGCUCACAGGCUGAGAGACAAGAAGAGUCAAGGUUUCCCCACCCACAUUCCCCUUCCCCAGAAAGGGACCAGCUGAUCCAGAGAAACAAAGGCUGGGAGGAUAGCUAUUGAGCUUGCUUCUCCAGGCCUUGUGCUUCCCUCAGGCUGCCUUCUGUGUAGCUGAUCGUGCUGCGUUUCAGGGUGGUCCAGUUACUCAGAAGCUCAGGGUGACCAUGGUGCCUGUCAUCCUGCCCCUGCAGUUUCCUCAUGGGCCACAUUUCCCAGCUUACAGCAUCUUCUACCUGCGGGUUGACCAGAGCCCAGAAGUGCUGCAUGCUCAGCUGCCUGGAGAAUGAUCCAGAAAAUAUUUUUUGGGUUCAAUCUUGGAAGAGAAUUACUAACAGUCCACUGGUCCACCUAGCAGCAAUAGUCCUUUCCAUAGAGCAAACAAAAUUGACUCCUUCAGGGAACGUUCUCCAGAUCUCCAGGCCAUCAUGCCAGACUGCCUUAUCCAGGGCAGGAGUAGAACUUUGAAUUCACCAUACAUUAAUCUCAGACUAUUAAGAAGCUGUAGCAUCUCAAAAGCCAUAAACUCCCAAUUCAAGAGUAUUUUUGCCCCCUCUUCCUGAGAGACCAGUUUCUAAAAGUGCAAGUGGCUUUUUAGGGCUUUUCCUCCUUGUGUUCUGGCAGUGGAACAAGCAUCCAAGGUCAUCUGAGGAUCGUACCUGCUGGAAACAGCAAGGCCACCACGUCCUCCCUUAAAUGAGAGGAUACACAGGAAGGAAGUUGGACAUAACCCUAAUGUUAGUGGCCCAG